This 274-nucleotide ribosomal RNA is filed under the name uncultured bacterium. Its description in RNAcentral is "partial 16S ribosomal RNA". It matches the Rfam family "Bacterial small subunit ribosomal RNA", at positions 523 to 796 of the family's 1533-position model. The record is from RNAcentral.
AUACGGAGGAGCCAAGCGUUAUCCGGAAUCAUUGGGUUUAAAGGGUCCGUAGGUGGAUAAUUAAGUCAGAGGUGAAAUCCUGCAGCUCAACUGUAGAAUUGCCUUUGAUACUGGUUAUCUUGAGUUAUUAUGAAGUAGUUAGAAUAUGUAGUGUAGCGGUGAAAUGCAUAGAUAUUACAUAGAAUACCGAUUGCGAAGGCAGAUUACUAAUAAUAUACUAACACUGAGGGACGAAAGCGUGGGGAGCGAACAGGAUUAGAAACCCUAGUAGUCC